RNAcentral lists this ribosomal RNA (223 nucleotides) under uncultured bacterium. RNAcentral describes it as "partial 16S ribosomal RNA". It matches the Rfam family "Bacterial small subunit ribosomal RNA", at positions 111 to 334 of the family's 1533-position model. The record is from RNAcentral.
UAACGCGUGGGUAACCUGCCUCAUACAGGGGGAUAACAGUUAGAAAUGACUGCUAAUACCGCAUAAGCGCACAGUGCUGCAUGGCACAGUGUGAAAAACUCCGGUGGUAUGAGAUGGACCCGCGUCUGAUUAGCUAGUUGGUGGGGUAACGGCCUACCAAGGCGACGAUCAGUAGCUGGCCUGAGAGGGUGAACGGCCACAUUGGGACUGAGACACGGCCCAA